Molecule: ribosomal RNA, 449 nt
Filed under: uncultured bacterium
Lineage: Bacteria
Description: partial 16S ribosomal RNA
Rfam family: Bacterial small subunit ribosomal RNA
Source: RNAcentral
AACGAACGCUGGCGGCAUGCCUAACACAUGCAAGUCGAACGAGAUCUUCGGGUCUAGUGGCGCACGGGUGCGUAACGCGUGGGAAUCUGCCCUUUGGUUCGGAAUAACAGUUGGAAACGACUGCUAAUACCGGAUGAUGGCGAAAGUCCAAAGAUUUAUCGCCAGAGGAUGAGCCCGCGUAGGAUUAGCUAGUUGGUGUGGUAAAGGCGCACCAAGGUGACGAUCCUUAGCUGGUCUGAGAGGAUGAUCAGCCACACUGGGACUGAGACACGGCCCAGACUCCUACGGGAGGCAGCAGUGGGGAAUAUUGGACAAUGGGCGAAAGCCUGAUCCAGCAAUGCCGCGUGAGUGAUGAAGGCCUUAGGGUUGUAAAGCUCUUUUACCCGGGAUGAUAAUGACAGUACCGGGAGAAUAAGCUCCGGCUAACUCCGUGCCAGCCGCCGCAGUAA